This 497-nucleotide ribosomal RNA is filed under the name uncultured bacterium. RNAcentral's name for it is "partial 16S ribosomal RNA". It matches the Rfam family "Bacterial small subunit ribosomal RNA", at positions 28 to 507 of the family's 1533-position model. The record is from RNAcentral.
GAUGAACGCUGGCGGCGUGCCUAAUACAUGCAAGUCGAGCGAACAGACGAGGAGCUUGCUCCUCUGACGUUAGCGGCGGACGGGUGAGUAACACGUGGAUAACCUACCUAUAAGACUGGGAUAACUUCGGGAAACCGGAGCUAAUACCGGAUAAUAUAUUGAACCGCAUGGUUCAAUAGUGAAAGACGGUUUUGCGGUCACUUAUAGAUGGAUCCGCGCCGCAUUAGCUAGUUGGUAAGGUAAAGGCUUACCAAGGCAACGAUGCGUAGCCGACCUGAGAGGGUGAUCGGCCACCCUGGAACUGAGACACGGUCCAGACUCCUACGGGAGGCAGCAGUCGCGAAUCUUCCGCAAUGGGCGAAAGCCUGACGGAGCAACGCCGCGUGAGUGAUGAAGGUCUUCGGAUCGUAAAACUCUGUUAUUAGUGAAGAACAAAUGUGUAAGUAACUAUGCACGUCUUGACGGUACCUAAUCAGAAAGCCACGGCUAACUACGUG